RNAcentral lists this ribosomal RNA (482 nucleotides) under uncultured bacterium. RNAcentral describes it as "partial 16S ribosomal RNA". It matches the Rfam family "Bacterial small subunit ribosomal RNA", at positions 30 to 507 of the family's 1533-position model. The record is from RNAcentral.
AUUGAACGCUGGCGGCAUGCUUUACACAUGCAAGUCGAACGGUAACAGGCCGCAAGGUGCUGACGAGUGGCGAACGGGUGAGUAAUGCAUCGGAACGUGCCCAGUCGUGGGGGAUAACUACUCGAAAGAGUAGCUAAUACCGCAUACGAUCUAUGGAUGAAAGCGGGGGACCGUAAGGCCUCGGGCGAUUGGAGCGGCCGAUGUCAGAUUAGGUAGUUGGUGGGGUAAAGGCUCACCAAGCCAACGAUCUGUAGCUGGUCUGAGAGGACGACCAGCCACACUGGGACUGAGACACGGCCCAGACUCCUACGGGAGGCAGCAGUGGGGAAUUUUGGACAAUGGGCGCAAGCCUGAUCCAGCAAUGCCGCGUGCAGGAAGAAGGCCUUCGGGUUGUAAACUGCUUUUGUACGGAACGAAACGGCUCUGGUUAAUACCCGGGGCUAAUGACGGUACCGUAAGAAUAAGCACCGGCUAACUACGUG